RNAcentral lists this transfer RNA (71 nucleotides) under Stegodyphus mimosarum. It matches the Rfam family "tRNA". Rfam says of the family: Transfer RNA (tRNA) molecules are approximately 80 nucleotides in length. Their secondary structure includes four short double-helical elements and three loops (D, anti-codon, and T loops). Lineage: Eukaryota; Metazoa; Arthropoda; Arachnida; Araneae; Eresidae. The record is from Rfam by way of RNAcentral.
GCCUUCGUGGUGUAACGGUAGCAUAAUCGGCGCGUAUUCGAGAGUUUCAGGUUCGAGUCCCAGCGAAGGCA